RNAcentral lists this ribosomal RNA (500 nucleotides) under uncultured bacterium. RNAcentral describes it as "partial 16S ribosomal RNA". It matches the Rfam family "Bacterial small subunit ribosomal RNA", at positions 30 to 523 of the family's 1533-position model. The record is from RNAcentral.
AUUGAACGCUGGCGGAAUGCUUUACACAUGCAAGUCGAACGGCAGCACGGACUUCGGUCUGGUGGCGAGUGGGGAACGGGUGAGUAAUGUAUCGGAACGUGCCCAGUCGUGGGGGAUAACGUAGUGAAAAUUACGCUAAUACCGCAUACGAUCUAUGGAUGAAAGCGGGGGAUCGCAAGACCUCGCGCGAUUGGAGCGGCCGAUAUCAGAUUAGGUAGUUGGGGGGGUAAAGGCCCACCAAGCCAACGAUCUGUAGCUGGUCUGAGAGGACGACCAGCCACGCUGGAACUGAGACACGGUACAGACUCCUGCGGGAGGCAGCAGUGGGGAAUUUUGGACAAUGGGCGAAAGCCUGAUCCAGCCAUUCCGCGUGCAGGAUGAAGGCCCUCGGGUUGUAAACUGCUUUUGUACAGAACGAAAAGGUUUCUACUAAUACUAGGAGCUCAUGACGGUACUGUAAGAAUAAGCACCGGCUAACUACGUGCCAGCCGCCGCAGUAA